This 406-nucleotide ribosomal RNA is filed under the name uncultured bacterium. Its description in RNAcentral is "partial 16S ribosomal RNA". It matches the Rfam family "Bacterial small subunit ribosomal RNA", at positions 30 to 526 of the family's 1533-position model. The record is from RNAcentral.
AUUGAACGCUGGCGGCAGGCCUAACACAUGCAAGUCGAACGAGUGGCGGACGGGUGAGUAAUGUCUGGGAAACUGCCCGAUGGAGGGGGAUAACUACUGGAAACGGUAGCUAAUACCGCAUACCAUCGGAUGUGCCCAGAUGGGAUUAGCUAGUAGGUGGGGUAACGGCUCACCUAGGCGACGAUCCCUAGCUGGUCUGAGAGGAUGACAAGCCACACUGGAACUGAAACACGGUCCGGACGCCUACGAGAGGCAGCAGUGUGGAAUAUUGGACAAUGGGCGCAAGCAUGAUGCAGCCAUGCCGCGUGUAUGAAGGAAGCCUUCGGGUUGUAAAGUACUUUCAGCGAGGAGGCGUUACUGGCAGAAGAAGCACCGGCUAACUCCGUGCCAGCAGCCACGGUAAUUC